AUGCCAGCCCCACUAGCUCCAACCUCUGAAAUUCUGGGGUGUGGGAACCCACAGAAGGAAAAAAGUACUAAAUGGGAAAAUAAGCUGGGGGAGACCGUGACAGCCGAAUGCGGCAAACGCCACGGCAGCCACCCGACGCCUGCCGGCUUCCCGAGCUGCGCCGCUGAGGGCCCAGGUGCACACCCAGCACCAACCCUCACCACGGCCAGAAGGCGACUAGAAAUGCCAUCAGCGUGCGGAGUCCAGGACACCGCAGCUGCUGCCCAGGAACCCCGAGAGCACGGGCACUGGGCCCCGCGGCCGAGCUCGGUGAGUGCCGCUGGCUCCAGGCCAGCGCGGCCCGGCACCGCGAGAUCCAGAGACCAGAGGUGGCACAGCACACGCCGCGGGCUCUCGGGCUGCAGUGUCCCCUGCAGAGCCUCUCCCUGGGCACCCCCGACAGGCUGGGGGAGCAGGACGGCGGGGACAAGUCUGGCCCGAGGCCAGGACGUGAUGCCUUGGGGUGGGUCUUUAAGGUGUAAGGCUCAGCGGGAGCGGGAGAAACCCACGUCUCCCCACGAGGGCUCAGACCGGGAAUCUGGACAGCCUCUGCGGAGGGCCCACGGGCGAGACCACAGGGCUCCGCCCACGGCUGGCAGAGCUUCCUCUCAUUUCCCAGGGCCCCACCGGAGACCACGCUGCACGCCGUGGGUCGGGUGGGUCUCGAACCCCGACAGGUGUCGCGAGACGCAGGAGAGCAACACGGAGUGGGAAAAGGCCGCAGGAGAGGACAGCGCAGGAGGGCCUGCGGCCAGGGGCAAAGCCAGAGGAAAGGCGGACCUCAGGGUGGGGUCCAGUCGCCCACGGCUCCUCCACGGAGGGGGCGUGGACGCCUGGCGCCCUGCCCAAGGCAAACCCCAAACUCACUUCAGAUCAUACUCAUUUGGGGUUGAAGUCCUGACACCGGCACGUGUCCUCCAGGACCUAAGAGAAGAGGACAAAGCGAACCUUCAGUGCAGGGGCCGCUCAGGGCCAAAGCCCCGUCACGCCCCGAACCUC
This 1038-nucleotide long non-coding RNA is filed under the name Oryctolagus cuniculus (rabbit). Its description in RNAcentral is "lncRNA (ENSOCUG00000034907.1)". The record is from RNAcentral. Lineage: Eukaryota; Metazoa; Chordata; Mammalia; Lagomorpha; Leporidae.